GCAGAGCACCAUUAAUGCACAGACAACGACCAUAGAUUGUGGGGCGGCAUGUGCAACGAGGUGUCAGCAAUCGAAGAGGCCAAGACUCUGUGAAAGGUCUUGUGGGAGUUGCUGCUUCCGAUGCCAAUGCGUACCUCCGGGCACCUCCGGCAACUACGAAGCCUGUCCCUGCUGCGCCACCAUGACCACCCGCGGCAACAAACCCAAAUGCCCUUA
This is a long non-coding RNA of Telopea speciosissima, 216 nucleotides long. RefSeq lists it as uncharacterized. The record is from RefSeq and is a predicted model, not a curated record. The transcript has 2 exons. Lineage: Eukaryota; Viridiplantae; Streptophyta; Magnoliopsida; Proteales; Proteaceae.